AACGGCCGUACCAUGCUGAAUAUACCGGUUCUCGUUAGAUCACCGAAGUCAAGCAUCAUUGGGCGCGGUCAGUACUUGUGUGGGUGACCACCUGGGAACACCGCGUGCCGUU
This 112-nucleotide ribosomal RNA is filed under the name Caerostris darwini. The record is from RNAcentral. Lineage: Eukaryota; Metazoa; Arthropoda; Arachnida; Araneae; Araneidae.